This 505-nucleotide ribosomal RNA is filed under the name uncultured bacterium. RNAcentral describes it as "partial 16S ribosomal RNA". It matches the Rfam family "Bacterial small subunit ribosomal RNA", at positions 28 to 507 of the family's 1533-position model. The record is from RNAcentral.
GACGAACGCUGGCGGCGUGCCUAAUACAUGCAAGUAGAACGCACAGUUUAUACCGUAGCUUGCUACACCAUAGACUGUGAGUUGCGAACGGGUGAGUUACGCGUAGGUAACCUGCCUGGUAGCGGGGGAUAACUAUUGGAAACGAUAGCUAAUACCGCAUAAUAUUAAUUAUUGCAUGAUAAUUAAUUGAAAGGUGCAAUUGCACCACUACCAGAUGGACCUGCGUUGUAUUAGCUAGUAGGUGAGGUAACGGCUCACCUAGGCGACGAUACAUAGCCGACCUGAGAGGGUGAUUGGCCACACUGGGACUGAGACACGGCCCAGACUCCUACGGGAGGCAGCAGUAGGGAAUCUUCGGCAAUGGACGAAAGUCAGACCGAGCAACGCCGCGUGAGUGAAGAAGGUUGUCGGAUCGUAAAGCUCUGUUGUAAGAGAAGAACGGGUGUGAGAGUGGAAAGUACACAGUGUGACGGUAUCUUACCAGAAAGGGACGGCUAACUACGUG